Molecule: non-coding RNA, 28 nt
Filed under: Bombyx mori (domestic silkworm)
Lineage: Eukaryota; Metazoa; Arthropoda; Insecta; Lepidoptera; Bombycidae
Source: RNAcentral
UACCAGUUCAGUUCAGUCAGCCAAGGUC